AACGAACGCUGGCGGCAUGCCUAACACAUGCAAGUCGAACGAGACCUUCGGGUCUAGUGGCGCACGGGUGCGUAACGCGUGGGAACCUGCCCUUAGGUUCGGAAUAACUCCCCGAAAGGGGUGCUAAUACCGGAUAAUGUCUUCGAACCAAAGAUUUAUCGCCUUUGGAUGGGCCCGCGUUGGAUUUGCUAGUUGGUAAGGUAAAAGCCUACCAAGGCGACGAUCCAUAGCUGGUCUGAGAGGAUGAUCAGCCACACUGGGACUGAGACACGGCCCAGACUCCUACGGGAGGCAGCAGUGGGGAAUAUUGGACAAUGGGCGAAAGCCUGAUCCAGCAAUGCCGCGUGAGUGAUGAAGGCCUUAGGGUUGUAAAGCUCUUUUACCCGGGAUGAUAAUGACAGUACCGGGAGAAUAAGCUCCGGCUAACUCCGUG
This 433-nucleotide ribosomal RNA is filed under the name uncultured bacterium. Its description in RNAcentral is "partial 16S ribosomal RNA". It matches the Rfam family "Bacterial small subunit ribosomal RNA", at positions 29 to 507 of the family's 1533-position model. The record is from RNAcentral.